GCUGGGCGUGGUGGCGGGCACCUGUAAUCCCAGCUACUUGGGAGGCUGAGGCAGGAGAAUUGCUUGAGCCUGGGAGGCGGAGGUUGCAGUGAGCUGAGAUUGCGCCACUGCACUCCAGCCUGGGCAACCAAGCAAGACUCUGUCUCAA
Molecule: unclassified non-coding RNA, 148 nt
Organism: Pongo abelii (Sumatran orangutan)
Lineage: Eukaryota; Metazoa; Chordata; Mammalia; Primates; Hominidae
Rfam family: Metazoan signal recognition particle RNA
About the family: The signal recognition particle (SRP) is a universally conserved ribonucleoprotein.
Source: Ensembl